UAAUACGGAGGAGGCAAGCGUUGUUCGGAAUCACUGGGCUUAAAGCGGGUGUAGGCGGGGUGGCAGGUGUCCUGUGAAAGCCCUCGGCUCAACCGAGGAACUGCAGGGCAAACCGCCACCCUUGAGGCAGGUAGGGGCAAGUGGAACUAUGGGUGGAGCGGUGAAAUGCGUAGAUAUCCAUGGGAACGCCGGUAGCGAAAGCGGCUCGCUGGGCCUGUCCUGACGCUGAGACCCGAAAGCGUGGGUAGCAAACAGGAUUAGAUACCCUGGUAGUCCACGCCGUAAACGAUGCGCACUAGGUACGAGGACUCUGACGGUGUUCGUGCCGAAGGAAAACUGCUAAGUGCGCCGCCUGGGGAGUACGGCCGCAAGGCUA
RNAcentral lists this ribosomal RNA (376 nucleotides) under uncultured Planctomycetota bacterium. RNAcentral's name for it is "bacterial SSU rRNA". It matches the Rfam family "Bacterial small subunit ribosomal RNA", at positions 521 to 896 of the family's 1533-position model. Lineage: Bacteria; Pseudomonadati; Planctomycetota. The record is from RNAcentral.